Apis florea (little honeybee) is the source of this 1176-nucleotide long non-coding RNA. The record is from RefSeq and is a predicted model, not a curated record. NCBI's taxonomy places the organism in Eukaryota, Metazoa, Arthropoda, Insecta, Hymenoptera, Apidae.
AAAAGUCUUAAUCAUUGGGCAUUUUGCCUACGUAAUAUUUUCUAGACCACAAAGUAAUUUUCAAGACUUUUAAUGACGGGUAAAUCUAAUGGAUUAUUAGAAAUAGGUCAAUCGUAACCUGCAGAUCUUAAAAAUGAUAAAAGACCUUGGGAACUGUUGGAGUACAGUUAUGAUUGUAUGUAACGCGUAGCUGUGACCUUAUGAAUGUAUGAUCUCCUCUGACUUUCUGAAGUAAUAGAGAACACCUUUCAUUUUUCGAAAAAUCUCGUAUAUCCGUAUUUGUCGCUACUCAUAUUAUGUUUUCGUCGAAAUUAUUCAUUGAUUCAUCGAUGAAACGAAUAUCGAAAAUCUUUCAAUUUUAUUAUUAUUUUAUUAUUAUUAUUUCGUUAUUUAUUUACUUUGUCAAGAUAGGUUUCAUCGUUGCAAAAAAUUUUAUCUUCUUCAAAAUGUCCAUCCAUUAACAUAUUUAAUAUAUUCAAAAAUACAAGAUUCAUCUAUCCGUUUCAACAUUCGUUUAACGAAAUAUAGUUUCACAGUUAAGUAAAAAAUUUAAUUUUCACGAUAACGAACAGAUUCGAAACGAUCCAUACAGUUCAAUCUGAUUAAUUCUUUUCAGCAAUGUCGAACAAUGUGUGCAUAUUGACCGUGGAAAACCUCGAUUUAUUCAUGCUAUCAGAGCAGUGUCGUUGCUCGAUUGAAUUACACGAUGCCGUUCAUUAGGAAGAGGAUGGUUUAACUUAGUUUUCCAUCGUGAAUACGUCAGUUCCAGCGUUAGAUUCUAUCCUCGGAGAAUAAAUCUAUACAAGAGAGAAGUACCGAGAGCAGUUUCGCUUUAAUACGUUCUAGAUUGCUCGCAAAUGGAGUGUUAUACAAGUGAUAAAUUAUUUCUAUCGAUAGAAAUCUCGCCUUCUCAUCGCUGUAACGUCGUCGUUAAUCGUUAUGCAACAAGUUCGGCAACGCGUGCAUACGUAGCCGAUCAUCAACGGCAAACUUCAUCAUCGAAUCAUAUCACUUUGGAAUAUUACAUGCAUACAUCGUUCGAAUCGAGAUUUCGCCAAAUGAUCGAUCGAUCGAUAUCAGUGAUUGUUAAUUAAAGCAUUAUGUUAAUCGUGAAACGAUAGACGCUUAUGAAUACGCGAUCGUUCGUACUCCUUGAAGUAAGAAAGAAAAAAAGGA